UUAAAAUAUAAACCCAUUAAUAUAAUUAAUUGAAUAAUGAAUUGUGUUAUAAACAAAUUAUCAUAUCAGAAAUUUUAAAACUGAACUUAAUACAGUUAUUAAUCAAUUUGACAACUAGGGAUAGCAAGCAAAUCUAUUCAAGUGGAUAUCCAAGUAUCCAAUCCAAAUAGAUUGUAUAAUAUCUAUCCAAAAUACUAUGGAUUUGGUUUAUCUAAUAUCCAUCUAUGAACUUGAAUAUUAUUAAUACUUAAGUGUAUGAGACUAAAAUCGAAUAUUGUAAUUAAUAUUUAGGUUUUACAAAUUAAAUGAAAAACUAAAAUAACAUUGCCAAAAUUUAUUUCCACCAUCAACAACAACAAUGAUGGCACCAUCGCCGAAAAAUAGAAGUGACUAUCCACAUAUUUGAAAUUCUCAAAUCUGUGAAAUGGUGGUAACAUUGGCAGAUAAAAGGUUAUGCUAGGGCUGCAUGCCUCUUCCAAUGCAACUAACAAUUGCAAGAGCGCCAUGAUUAGGUAGUGUUUCAAGGUUCACUGCUGCCUUAAACAACCAAAUUGGUUGUCUCCUAAUAGGAUAAAGAUGGUAGUGUAAUGUAACUCGCUGUGGUUCUGUGGUGUAAUUACGAUGGUAGCCUUUUUUGGCAGGCAUGUGUGACCCUAUGUAUCAUCAUUUCCUAGCAUUGAGAUAUCAUUAUGUAGUAAUCUAAUUUCGAGUCCAAUAGUACCCUUUAUUGCCCCCCUUGAUCAGUAUUGCCAUCUCUAGUGAUGGAGCAAGGGUCCGCUGGCGAUUAUAUAUAUUUUUUAAUGUAUUUUUUUUUUGUAGUUAAUUGAAAAAUAAAAGUAAUAACUUUGUUUUGUUAUUCUAUUUCUAUAUUAAAAAUAAUGUUAACGAUCUUUUAAUAUUAAUCGUUUUAGGAAAUUAUGUAUUUAUACAUGAAUGGAUAAUAGUUGUAUUCAACUGAAUAUUUAUCAUUCUUAGUUAUUACAAAUAUUUUUUUUUUUAACUCUUAUUGGAUUAAUGGUAGUGAAAUGAAAUUUUCCUUUUUUUUUAAUAGAAAGGAAUUUCUUUUUGUAGUUGUAAUAAAUUAUGCAUUGUCUUCUCUGCAUAAAUUGCAUUAAAAAAGGAGGCUUAUCCACUUAUCCUGUCCAAAGUGACAAGUUUGCAGUGCCGCAGUAUUGCGUCCCUGCCGGCGUCGUGAAGAGUGCUUGUUGAACAGGUCGAUCUUUUCCAAAUUCAAAAGUCUGCACCUUUUCUUUCCAGAGGCCAAAGCUAAAAGGACAUCUUUUAUCGUGUCGACCUUGUCUUUUCUUUAAUAAUUUUCUUAUGGCAUGUUUGGUAGCCGAGUGGAAUUGGCUUAUGUGGUAGAAAAAAAUUUAGUACUGUGCUUGGGUCUGGCGCACGCCAAGCGGCGUGGGCCAUACGCCACAAGAUAAAUUUUUGGAGCCCUAUUUGAAUGGUGUAAAAUCUUAUCAUGAGGAAUUGAGGAUAAUAUUUUAAAGCUCAAAUCCGGUCCUAAAGUAUUGCUUAUGAUAAAUGAAAUAAAAGUAAAAUAUCACUUUUACAAAUUAAUGAUAUUGAUAGUUAAAUAAAUACAUAGAGUAAAUUUUUAUUUGUCAUGACUUAUCUAAUAGUCAUAAGUAUUUAUUUAAUCUUAUAAACUCUUAUUUAAAUUUUUGUUGUUUAGAUUUUUUAUAAAACUUUUAAAGAUUAAAUAAGUUAUUUUGUUUCUAUUAACAAAAUCUCAAAUUGUGGGCUCUUGGGGGUAGAGAUAAUUUUUUUUUUAAAUAUCACAAUAUCUAAAAUAUCCUUUACUUAUUUGAUAAUUUUAUUUUAUUCUUUUCAUAACAUAAUUUUAAAAAAAUUUUCUGCUAAAGUAAUUUUAUAAUUUUUAACAAAAGCUCUCGUUGACAAUCAAACAACUAAAAUUUUUUUAAGUAAAAGCUCUACCAACAAAAAGCUUUAUUUAAAUAAUGUCCAUUUAAAAAAAUAUACCAAAACAGAAAAAUUAAACAAAGGAAGAUAGAAUUAAUUGUAACACUGCAAGGCAUAAAAGGAAAGAGAUUCAUUUACUCUAAAUAUGUAAAUGAUCAACCAAUCUAUUUUACUUUUAAAUAAUUUUAAUAACAAAUUA
This 2128-nucleotide long non-coding RNA is filed under the name Citrus x clementina. Its description in RNAcentral is "Citrus clementina (C. clementina) long non-coding RNA (CCLE_LNC006521)". The record is from RNAcentral. Lineage: Eukaryota; Viridiplantae; Streptophyta; Magnoliopsida; Sapindales; Rutaceae.